GUGAGUGCACUAAUAUUAGUGCUAUAAUUAUUUUAUGUGGUCACAUGAAUAAUUAUGUAUUGGUAUUUUAUUAAUUAGUACAUUUCCAUAGUUUUUGUGAUUUAUUUUUGAUCACCCUUCUCACACUAUUACUUUAAUUUCCCUACCAUGUGACUAAAUACCACAAUUUGCCAAGUGUAGAGAUUAUUGAGAGAGUGUAGAGAUUAGAGAGAGAGAGAUCAAGGCAUUAAUUGCCAAUAUUUCCUUAAGAUUACAAAAUCCUCUUUAAAGAUCACAAGAUCAUUUACAAUCUUGCAAAAUCCUCUCUCACUACUCACUCAUCAUUUUCGACCAACACCUCUCUCCCUCUUUCUCUCACUUUCCUCCAUUUUCCUCCACUGAAGAGACCUUCGAAGCUUCCAAAAAAAAAAAAAAAAAAAAAAAAAAAAAAUUUUACAAAACACCUCAAUCCACUCUAAAAUCUUCCAUAAACACAUCCUAGCUACUUAUAUUCAAGAGAAUCAUUGAAGAAAGGCUUCCAAGCUAGAGUGAGAAAAUGUGAGUUUUGGUGAGAAAUUUGGGUAAGUGGUCAUGUAUUCCAUAAAUCUUGCUUGAAUGAUGUUGUAUGAAGAAAGAAAAUCACCUCUCCCUUGUUCUUAAAAUUUUCAAAAAAAUGGGUCUUUACCCUUCAAAAAUUUUCUUUUUCUUUCCUUGAUUUGGGGAAAAAAAAAAUGAGAUCUAUGUGGUGUUUGUUGAUGAUUGAUGUGUGUUGUGAAAGUAUAUGCUUUGAGAUGUGAAAGUCGAUUGAGUUUAGUUUACAAAAAAAAUUGGGAAAUUGUGAGUCGAUGAUUUAUAUGAUGAUUGAUGAUUAUUGAGUUAAUAUAUAUGAAUAUCUUGAUGAUUAGCCAUGAGAUAUAGAUUUUUCUAUUAGGUUAGUUUACCUAAAAUUGGGAUGUUGAGAUCCUAUGAAUCAAUUGAUGUAUUGAUGAUGGAUUUGAGUUUAUGAGAUGAUCUAGAUGAUUAAUGAUGGAUGAGAUUGAAGCUUGAGGUUGAGAAAUGAAAAAUGAAAAGUGUUAGUUUGAGGAAGAAGAUGACAUACAUAUGUAUCUAUAUGUGAUCUUGUUUUAUGAUGUUGAUUUGUGCUAAUUGGUAACCUAGGAUGUUAGAUCUAUGAUUUGAUCAAUAGGUUAUACAUGAUUAGUGAUAUUUUCAAAAGAGUUUAGUUUAAUAAAAAUUAGGACUUUUUGCCUAUGUGUUAUUAAAGUGAUUUUGGCUUAAGAUAUAUGUAUUUGAGCAUGAUAUUAGUGUAUAAUUAUAUUUGAGUAAGUCUUUUGUUGGCUAAGAAAAUUUUUGACUUAGUUUAGUUUGUAUGAGUUUUUGAGUUUUCAUAUUUUGAGAAGUCGAUGAUUGAUAAAAUGAGGUCUAAUUGCUUUAUGACCAUUAUGUGAAAGUUUGUCAUGUUUU
RNAcentral lists this long non-coding RNA (1443 nucleotides) under Salvia miltiorrhiza (redroot sage). RNAcentral's name for it is "long non-coding RNA (SMIL_LNC011311)". The record is from RNAcentral. Lineage: Eukaryota; Viridiplantae; Streptophyta; Magnoliopsida; Lamiales; Lamiaceae.